CAGGGCAAGACUGGGGUUUUCCCUUACCACCUCCCAAGGUGAAAGCAUUCCUGUGGUCUUCUCUGUCACCCAGUACAUCCCCUUCCCCCACCAUCUCUAGUUUAAAGCCCUGCUAACCAGCCCAGCCAACUUGUUCCCAAGAAUAUUUGUAGCCCUUCUAGGCAGUCAGCUCCCAUUCGCUGUCAGCAUUCCCCCUUUCUCAAGGCUGCGUCCCAAGCCUGGUUACAGGUCAGCCUCAUAGUCUUGGUCUGUCUGCCUUGACUGGUGGGAGUGUAAAUCAUCAGGUUUGUGUGUCAAGCCUUUGCUCUCAAUUAAUUGCUGCCAUUGGAACGGCACCUAUUAAAGCAUGACCUGUCCAUAAAGCGUGUCAUCAGCACUGCCUGAUGCCUCAUCCUAAGCUGCCUUGUUAUGGGGUCACAUACCAAAUGUGCCAGCACCAUCUGCUGGGACUCCUGGAUAACACUGCUGUUAGAAACUCUGCUUUUGGUUGGUGCCUUUGUGUGAUGUGAAAUUCCCUACCAACCUCUGAAAUACAGCUUUCUCCUAAGCCCUACGCUCCUGUCUGCUAAGCUGUGCAUUCUUAUCACUGCAGAAUGUGGUUCUUGUUUGCUUUUGCAGGUGUUUGUAACUGUUGGUGAAUAACGCUCUGAAGGCAUCACAGACUGCCUGCUUGUCUCUGCAGUGCUCGGGGCUUUUCUGAGCUGCAGGCUCGCUGUCGCCCUGUGGCAUAGCCUUGCAUCUGGUGACGGACUGAAGCUGGAGAAUCCUGGCAGCAGAGGACGCUCCUGCCCCACAGAAGGGCUCACAGCUCCACCGCAGCUCCACCGACCUCAGUGCUGGUGAGGAGGCUGAGAUGCCUCCAAGUGAUGAAUGCAGUGCACCCAACCUUACACCUCGUGUGGUUCACUGUGCGAGGCGACCAGGAAGAAAGGAUAUUUUACAGGUUCUGACUCAGGUUCAGAGAUUUUAAGUUUACCGUCUGGAAUUAAAGCCUUCUUCAACUGCCUGUUCUGCCACCUGAUCCGCCAUCUUAUCUCCAGUUUCCUGUACAGUGCUACCUUUCUGGUGUCCUUUACAGAGUAUAAUAGCCAUGCUCUUUGGUAGAUGUACAUCAUACUGAAUGUUUUCCUUGUGUGUGAGCAAUCCUUGCUCUUUCCAGAGGGCACUAUGAGCGUGUUCCACCCCAAAAGCAUGUUUAGCAUCUGACCAUGUAUUUAAGGCUCUUGUCAAGGCAGUUAUUGCAGCCUUCUGAGCCAAGUCCCCACAGGCAAUGGUUGUUCGAUUACCUGGUCAGUAGCAGUUACUGCAUAUCCUGCCUUACGGUUGCCUCGUCUCACAACACUGCUUCUGUCGGAUGAACCCAGGAAUCCUCAGCACUGUCCAAUGGUUCCUCCUGUAGGUCUGGCCGACUGGCACAGUCAGUCUCCAAGCAGUCGCACGCUGCCGGUUUGGAGGUAGUUCUGUGUUGGUGUUAGAAUCAUGGAAUGGCCUGGGUUGAGAAGGACCUCAAAGAUCGUCCAGUUCCAACCCCCUGCUAUGUGCAGGGUCACCAACUGACGGACCAGGCUGCCCAGAGCCUUGUCUUGAAUAAGAUUGUUUUUAGGCGAACAAAAACUUUGGAUCACCUUUCAAAUAC
Molecule: long non-coding RNA, 1636 nt
Filed under: Gallus gallus (chicken)
Lineage: Eukaryota; Metazoa; Chordata; Aves; Galliformes; Phasianidae
Source: RNAcentral